Molecule: ribosomal RNA, 253 nt
Filed under: uncultured bacterium
Lineage: Bacteria
Description: partial 16S ribosomal RNA
Rfam family: Bacterial small subunit ribosomal RNA
Source: RNAcentral
UACAGAGGGCUCAAGCGUUGUUCGGAUUCAUUGGGCGUAAAGGGUGUGUAGGUGGCGCCGUAAGUCGGGUGUGAAAUCUCGGGGCUUAACUCCGAAACUGCAUUCGAUACUGCGGUGCUUGAGGACUGGAGAGGAGACUGGAAUUCAUGGUGUAGCAGUGAAAUGCGUAGAGAUCAUGAGGAAGACCAGUGGCGAAGGCGGGUCUCUGGACAGUUCCUGACACUGAGACACGAAGGCCAGGGGAGCAAACGGG